GGAGGUGGAGGGUGAGUUGAAGAAGAGGGAGAGCGAGCUGGAGAAGGAGGCCGAGAAAGCGGCACAGAAAGAAGAUAAAGAGGAUAAGAUGUUGGAAACUGAGCUGACUAAUGAGGUGGACAAGGAAACACAGGAAGAGGCCAACGAACAGAAAGAGGAGAACAAAGUCUUGGAACAACUUGAUUCAACAUCGCCUCUUCCAUGAACAAACCAGUUUAUAACAUAAGCUGUACGAUAUCGACGGUGCUGAACUGAAAAACCAUCUAACGGAAAUUGUGUUAGAAACCCAGCACAACUUACAUCGGGACGCCAACGAGUUUAUAUGUAAAGAAACUUCAUCUGUGAUGAAGAAAUACUUUAUAUCACUGCAAAUAAAAACUGUUACUAACUAUUUAA
Molecule: long non-coding RNA, 396 nt
Organism: Gigantopelta aegis
Lineage: Eukaryota; Metazoa; Mollusca; Gastropoda; Neomphalida; Peltospiridae
Exons: 2
Source: RefSeq, a predicted model, not a curated record